GCAAAACGCGAAGAACCUUACCUAGGCUUGACAUGCAUCUCUAAGCACGUGAAAGCGUGUGACCCUUCGGGGAAUUUGCACAGGUGCUGCAUGGCCGUCGUCAGCUCGUGUCGUGAGAUGUUGGGUUAAGUCCCGCAACGAGCGCAACCCUUGUGACUAGUUGCCAGCACGUUAUGGUGGGAACUCUAGUCAGACUGCCCAGAUCAACUGGGAGGAAGGUGGGGACGACGUCAGGUCAGUAUGGCCCUUACGCCUAGGGCUGCACACGUACUACAAUGCCCAGCACAAUGAGAACCGAGACCGCGAGGUGGAGGAAAUCUAAAAACUGGGCCCAGUUCGGAUUGGAGGCUGCAACUCGCCUCCAUGAAGUUGGAAUCGCUAGUAAUGGCGCAUCAUCUACGGCGCCGUGAAUACGUUCCCGGGUCUUGUACACACCG
This 437-nucleotide ribosomal RNA is filed under the name uncultured bacterium. Its description in RNAcentral is "bacterial SSU rRNA". It matches the Rfam family "Bacterial small subunit ribosomal RNA", at positions 954 to 1392 of the family's 1533-position model. The record is from RNAcentral.